This 274-nucleotide unclassified non-coding RNA is filed under the name uncultured fungus. Its description in RNAcentral is "partial contains 5.8S ribosomal RNA, internal transcribed spacer 2, and large subunit ribosomal RNA". The stretch from base 1 to 52 matches the Rfam family "5.8S ribosomal RNA", at positions 103 to 154 of the family's 154-position model. The record is from RNAcentral. Lineage: Eukaryota; Fungi.
AACGCACAUUGCGCCCUUUGGUAUUCCGAAGGGCAUGCCUGUUCGAGCGUCAUUAUCACCCCUCAAGCCCCGUGCUUGGUGUUGGAUGGCCGGUCGAGGUUCGCCCCGACCCCUCCUAAAGACAAUGACGGCGACCUGUGGUUCCCCCGGUACACUGAGCUUUUCGCAGAGCACGUACCGGACGAGGGCGCCCGGGUCACGGUCCCCUCCUCCUCGUGAGGAAAUAUUUUUCAAGGUUGACCUCGGAUCAGGUAGGAAUACGCGCUGAACUUAA